RNAcentral lists this ribosomal RNA (252 nucleotides) under uncultured bacterium. RNAcentral describes it as "partial 16S ribosomal RNA". It matches the Rfam family "Bacterial small subunit ribosomal RNA", at positions 525 to 776 of the family's 1533-position model. The record is from RNAcentral.
ACGGAGGGUCCAAGCGUUAUCCGGAUUUAUUGGGUUUAAAGGGUCCGUAGGCGGGUCUUUAAGUCAGUGGUGAAAGCCUACAGCUCAACUGUAGAAUUGCCAUUGAUACUGGAGACCUUGAGUUCAAUUGAAGUUAGCGGAAUGUGUCAUGUAGCGGUGAAAUGCAUAGAUAUGACACAGAACACCGAUUGCGAAGGCAGCUAACUAAGUUGAUACUGACGCUGAGGGACGAAAGCGUGGGGAGCGAACAGG